AGGAAGGAAAGCUUGCUUUUCUGAAUCUAGUGGCGAACGGGUGAGUAACACGUAGGUAACCUGCCUGAUAGCGGGGGAUAACUAUUGGAAACGAUAGCUAAUACCGCAUAAGAGGAGUUAACUCAUGUUAACUGUUUAAAAGAAGCCAUUGCUUCACUAUCAGAUGGACCUGCGUUGUAUUAGCUAGUAGGUAGGGUAACGGCCUACCUAGGCAACGAUACAUAGCCGACCUGAGAGGGUGAACGGCCACACUGGGACUGAGACACGGCCCAGACUCC
RNAcentral lists this ribosomal RNA (278 nucleotides) under uncultured Streptococcus sp. RNAcentral's name for it is "partial 16S ribosomal RNA". It matches the Rfam family "Bacterial small subunit ribosomal RNA", at positions 68 to 339 of the family's 1533-position model. Lineage: Bacteria; Bacillati; Bacillota; Bacilli; Lactobacillales; Streptococcaceae. The record is from RNAcentral.